This 497-nucleotide ribosomal RNA is filed under the name uncultured bacterium. RNAcentral describes it as "partial 16S ribosomal RNA". It matches the Rfam family "Bacterial small subunit ribosomal RNA", at positions 28 to 507 of the family's 1533-position model. The record is from RNAcentral.
GACGAACGCUGGCGGCGUGCCUAAUACAUGCAAGUCGAGCGAUGAAGGUUGGUACUUGUACCGACUGGAUGAGCAGCGAACGGGUGAGUAACGCGUGGGGAAUCUGCCUUUGAGAGGGGGACAACUUCUGGAAACGAUUGCUAAUACCGCAUAAAAUUUUUAAACACAAGUUUUAAGAUUGAAAGACGCAAUUGCUUUAACUAAUGAAUAUCUCGCGUCGGCUUUAGCAGUUGGGUAGGGAAAGGCCCAACAAGGCGAUGGUACAUAACCGACCUGAGAGGGGGGUCGGCCACAACUGGACUGAGACAAGGCCCAAGCCCCUACGGGAGGCAGCAGGAGGGAAUCUUCGGCAAAGGACGAAAGGCUGGCCGGGCAACGCCGCGGGAGGUGAGAAGGUUUUCGGAUCGGAAAACUCUGUUGGUAGGGAAGAACGAUAGGGGGAGUUGAAAGCUCAUCAAGUGACGGUAACUACCCAGAAAGGGACGGCUAACUACGUG